GACGAACGCUGGCGGCGUGCUUAACACAUGCAAGUCGAACGGAAAGGCCCCUUUGGGGGUACUCGAGUGGCGAACGGGUGAGUAACACGUGAGUAACCUGCCCUUGACUUCGGGAUAACUUCAGGAAACUGGGGCUAAUACCGGAUAGGAAUCCUUGCUGCAUGGUGGGGGUUGGAAAGCUUCGGCGGUUUUGGAUGGACUCGCGGCUUAUCAGCUUGUUGGUGGGGUAGUGGCUUACCAAGGCUUUGACGGGUAGCCGGCCUGAGAGGGCGACCGGCCACAUUGGGACUGAGACACGGCCCAGACUCCUACGGGAGGCAGCAGUGGGGAAUAUUGCACAAUGGGCGGAAGCCUGAUGCAGCAACGCCGCGUGCGGGAUGACGGCCUUCGGGUUGGAAACCGCUUUCAGCAGGGGCGAAGCUUGUGGUGACGGUACCUGCAGAAGAAGCACCGGCUAACUACGUG
This 465-nucleotide ribosomal RNA is filed under the name uncultured bacterium. RNAcentral's name for it is "partial 16S ribosomal RNA". It matches the Rfam family "Bacterial small subunit ribosomal RNA", at positions 28 to 507 of the family's 1533-position model. The record is from RNAcentral.